This 639-nucleotide ribosomal RNA is filed under the name Pagellus bellottii. RNAcentral describes it as "partial 12S ribosomal RNA". Lineage: Eukaryota; Metazoa; Chordata; Actinopteri; Spariformes; Sparidae. The record is from RNAcentral.
CAAAGGUUUGGUCCUGACUUUUCUGCCAGCUCUAGCUAGACUUACACAUGCAAGUAUCCGCGCCCCCGUGAGAAUGCCCUAUAGUUCCCUGCCCGGGAACAAGGAGCUGGUAUCAGGCACACUCAAACAUGCCCACGACACCUUGCUCAGCCACACCCCCAAGGGUACUCAGCAGUGAUAAACAUUGACACAUAAGUGAAAACUUGACUCAGUUAAAGCUAAGAGGGCCGGUAAAACUCGUGCCAGCCACCGCGGUUAUACGGGAGGCCCAAGUUGUUAGAAGCCGGCGUAAAGGGUGGUUAAGAACAAGCUUAAAUUAAAGCCGAACGCCUUCUAGGCUGUUAUACGCAUCCGAAGGUAAGAAGCCCAAUUACGAAAGUAGCUUUGUACAUCUGACUUGCUACCCCGCUUUCACUGGGGUUGGUUACCCCGCUAUCCCUGGGGUUAGAUACCCCGCUAUAACUGGGAUUAGAUACCCCGCUAUAGCUGGGAUUAGAUACCCCACUAUCGCUGGGGUUAGAUACCCCACUAUAACUGGGGUUAGAUACCCCUCUAUAACUGGGAUUAGAUACCCCACUAUCACUGGGAUUAGAUACCCCACUAUAACUGGGAUUAGAUACCCCACUAUCACUGGGUUAA